Molecule: ribosomal RNA, 461 nt
Filed under: uncultured bacterium
Lineage: Bacteria
Description: partial 16S ribosomal RNA
Rfam family: Bacterial small subunit ribosomal RNA
Source: RNAcentral
CCUACGGGUGGCAGCAGUGAGGAAUAUUGGUCAAUGGGCGCGAGCCUGAACCAGCCAAGUAGCGUGAAGGAUGACUGCCCUAUGGGUUGUAAACUUCUUUUGUCCGGGAGCAAUACUGGUUACGUGUGGCCGGACGAGAGUACCGUACGAAUAAGGAUCGGCUAACUCCGUGCCAGCAGCCGCGGGAAUACGGGGGAUGCAAGCGUUAUCCCGAUUUAUUGGGUUUAAAGGGUGGGUAGGCGGUGAGGUGAGUUAGCGGUGAAAUGCCCCGGCUCAACAGCGGGCAGUGCCUUUGAUACUGCCGUGCUGGAAUGCGGAUGCGGUGGGAGGAAUGUGUGGUGUAGCGGUGAAAUGCAUAGAGAUCACACAGAACACCGAUUGCGAAGGCAGCUCACGAAUCCGCGACUGACGUUGAUGCACGAAAGCGUGGGUAGCAAACAGGAUUAGAUACCCGAGUAGUC